RNAcentral lists this ribosomal RNA (469 nucleotides) under uncultured bacterium. Its description in RNAcentral is "bacterial SSU rRNA". It matches the Rfam family "Bacterial small subunit ribosomal RNA", at positions 329 to 795 of the family's 1533-position model. The record is from RNAcentral.
UUCCAGACUCCUACGGGAGGCAGCAGUGAGGAAUAUUGGUCAAUGGCCGAGAGGCUGAACCAGCCAAGUCGCGUGAGGGAAGACGGCCCUACGGGUUGUAAACCUCUUUUGUCGGGGAGCAAAGAGAGUCACGUGUGACUCAUUGAGAGUACCCGAAGAAAAAGCAUCGGCUAACUCCGUGCCAGCAGCCGCGGUAAUACGGAGGAUGCGAGCGUUAUCCGGAUUUAUUGGGUUUAAAGGGUGCGUAGGCGGUUUGAUAAGUUAGAGGUGAAAUGUCGGGGCUCAACCCCGAAACUGCCUCUAAUACUGUUGGACUAGAGAAUAGUUGCGGUAGGCGGAAUGUAUGGUGUAGCGGUGAAAUGCUUAGAGAUCAUACAGAACACCGAUUGCGAAGGCAGCUUACCAAACUAUAUCUGACGUUGAGGCACGAAAGCGUGGGUAGCAAACAGGAUUAGAUACCCCGGUAAAC